Molecule: non-coding RNA, 204 nt
Organism: Pelobates cultripes (western spadefoot toad)
Lineage: Eukaryota; Metazoa; Chordata; Amphibia; Anura; Pelobatidae
Source: the annotation of a GenBank genome assembly
GCAGUCUUUACAUUGCCCCUAGGGACACCUCCAAGUUGCCAUUCCUCAGAUGGCCACUGGAGGUGCUUCCUGGCUCCAGUGGCGGAUCCAGAGCCUGAUCUCGGGAGGGGCACUUGUAGAUUAUUUAAAUAAAUAAUCCAGACACAAUAACCACUACAGCUGUAGUGGUUAUGGUGUCAAUAGUGCCGGGACCCCCUCCCAGAG